GAAAUAUAAUUUAAGAACUUCUAAUUCUUUUUAAAAUGUAUUAAUCAUUAAUAUUUCU
This 58-nucleotide transfer RNA is filed under the name Seladonia aeraria. Its description in RNAcentral is "tRNA-Ser". Lineage: Eukaryota; Metazoa; Arthropoda; Insecta; Hymenoptera; Halictidae. The record is from RNAcentral.